AGUCUGGCCUGCCCACUGAGGGUAUUUAAAGGCCGCGGUAUUAUGACCGUGCGAAGGUAGCAUAAUCAUUAGUCUUUUAAUUGAGGGCUGGUAUGAAGGGUCGGACGAGAAAUGAGCUGUCUUAAAUUUUGAAAAUUGAAUUUAACUCUUAAGUGAGAAGGCUUAAAUAGGCUAGGGGGACGAUAAGACCCUAUAAAGUUUGACACUAAAUUAAUUAAGGGUGAUUUAGGUAAUAAAGUCUUAUUAUUAUAUAAGUGUAUAGUUGGGGCGACUAGGAUAUAAGUUAUUUAACUGUUUCUUCACUCGAAUCAAAAAUUUUUGAUUUUAUGAUCCUUUUUUAGGAUAUUAGAGUAAAUUACUUUAGGGAUAACAGCGUAAUUUUUUUUGAGAGUUCUUAUCGAUAAAAGAGUUUGCGACCUCGAUGUUGAAUUAAAAUUUCUUUGUAAUGCAGCAGUUACAAGAGAGGGUCUGUUCGACCUUUAAAUUUUUACAUGAUUUGAGUUCAGACCGGCGUGAGCCAGGUUGGUUUU
This 530-nucleotide ribosomal RNA is filed under the name Cherax destructor destructor. RNAcentral's name for it is "partial 16S ribosomal RNA". It matches the Rfam family "Archaeal large subunit ribosomal RNA", at positions 1943 to 2707 of the family's 2987-position model. The record is from RNAcentral. Lineage: Eukaryota; Metazoa; Arthropoda; Malacostraca; Decapoda; Parastacidae.